ACAAAACAGAAGACGAAUACGAAACCUCAAACAGUAUCAAAUUAUAAAUUCGCGGGCGGUGAUGUUUAUGGAUCCUUAUGCUUUAUUAAUUAAACCAAUGCUUUGGUAAUACUCUUGACUUGUCGAAUAACUGCAUUGACGGAUUUGUAACAACACAAACACCUGGUUUCAUAUUGGGAUUUGAGUGUGAGCUUUGGAUUGCUGUUAUACAAUGUGCAUCACCAAAAAGUAUGCAGUCAAGAGAAGAAAUUAAUAAUUUCUACCUGCAGAAAGUACUUACAGAUGUUGAAAAGAAACUUGUUGAUCUUUUUAUCCAAGAAUGGAACACGCAUUACAAAGAAUCCCUCGGAGAUUGGGAAAAUACAAACUAAGUGGGAUUGUACGACGUUAUUUGCAGCAAUAUUGCAUUCCAAAUCAAUUGGAACAAAAAUUGAUCCAAAAGUUAGAGAUGCUUUGAAUGAACUUCGUGAAGUAAGAAACACAUUCAUCCAUAAAUAUAAAGGAAAAGUUUCUGAUGACAAAUUUCAAAAAAGGCUUUGUAAUAUUGAAAAGUCAUUUCAAGAUCUAGGAUUUUCAUUUAACGAAAUUAAUGAAAUAAAAAGUGAACGAAACAAAUUUAGUUCUUUUCAAGUACUUCCUUGCAAACCAAAUCACGAUGUGGUUAAA
Molecule: long non-coding RNA, 666 nt
Organism: Xenia sp. Carnegie-2017
Lineage: Eukaryota; Metazoa; Cnidaria; Anthozoa; Malacalcyonacea; Xeniidae
Exons: 3
Source: RefSeq, a predicted model, not a curated record